RNAcentral lists this long non-coding RNA (1213 nucleotides) under Sorghum bicolor (sorghum). RNAcentral describes it as "long non-coding RNA (SBIC_LNC013728)". Lineage: Eukaryota; Viridiplantae; Streptophyta; Magnoliopsida; Poales; Poaceae. The record is from RNAcentral.
GUAUAUGCACCUACAAGGCAAGUGCACCACCCUUCGAUUUACUCUAGCUUCGCCACUGCCACAAGCCGGUGUCAUUUCGCAACCCACCAGAGAUUUCGGCGGCAACAACAACAGCACAGUUCUCAUUCAGAAGCCGGAGUCAUUUCAGCGCAACAGUUUGUUCAGGCUAAAAGAAGAUUUUUUUUUUCUUUUUUGGCUAGUCGUCAAGAAUCCACCAAAGGGUGGAGAAUGGCAUCACACACUCCGUUUUCAUGGCUAAUGGCGAUGACUGUCCACUUAACCAUUCGCCCAUUUGCAUUUUCUAUUUAUUGAAUACUUCCAGGGGCUCGUCUCGCUUCUAUGUACAUAGCGACAUAUAUGAAAAGAGCUUAGUAACUUUGUGUUGCCGAGAAUACAUGCAACAACAUCAAAAUGCAAAUAACUGUAUUUGCAAACUUUAUUUCGCAGACAACACUACGCGUCAUCAACCAACAGCUUUCACCAACAUCCUGGCGAGGAGCUUUGCCAUCAGGAACACUGACAAUGAGUUAAUGUCAAAAUAAUUUAAAAGCGCCAGAGGAGCUCAUUUCACCGCUCCUCGUGUAUUCCCCCAUAAAAAUGAAUAGGAUAAGACAAAAAAUCACUCAGUCAAAAAAGCACUUCACAUAUGAGUGUUUAGGUGCAUCACAGAUAUGUCAGAGAGGGCGUCUUAUUAAGAAUAUCUACAAACGUGCGUACCUAUAUGUGACUGUGAUUAAAAUAGAACACACAUCUGUGUGAAUAACAACACUCAGACAUGUGUACUAUACACGGGUCUGUAGUAUGGAUAACAGUACAAACACGUUCUUUAAGCGCAUCUAUUUUAGUGAACAUUAUAUAGACGUUCAUGCUCUACACGUGUCUGAAGGUAGAUUACUACUAUAGACGCCAGCGGUGAACGUGUCUGUCAACAUGCAUCUGUAAUUGUGAUGCUAAUACAGAUGUUGUCAUUAUGCGUCUGUAGUGAGGAGCAAACUACAGACUUCUAUUUUGUCAGUGCGUCUGUAGUAAUGUUUUUCUUACCAUAGACGUGUCUAGGACACAUACCCAUCUGUAGUAAGAAAAAUACUACAAAUGUGUAUCAUAGGCACGUGAUCAUGGUCGAAAAAAUGUUGUGAUCAUCUACAACUAUUUCGCAUGUAUCAACUGUUGGAAUAUUUAGGUGUUAUACAUGGCGAGGUUGUUGGUGUGUGGG